AUUGAACGCUGGCGGCAGGCCUAACACAUGCAAGUCGAGCGGAUGAAGGGAGCUUGCUCCUGGAUUCAGCGGCGGACGGGUGAGUAAUGCCUAGGAAUCUGCCUGGUAGUGGGGGAUAACGUCCGGAAACGGGCGCUAAUACCGCAUACGUCCUGAGGGAGAAAGUGGGGGAUCUUCGGACCUCACGCUAUCAGAUGAGCCUAGGUCGGAUUAGCUAGUUGGUGGGGUAAAGGCCUACCAAGGCGACGAUCCGUAACUGGUCUGAGAGGAUGAUCAGUCACACUGGAACUGAGACACGGUCCAGACUCCUACGGGAGGCAGCAGUGGGGAAUAUUGGACAAUGGGCGAAAGCCUGAUCCAGCCAUGCCGCGUGCGUGAAGAAGGUCUCGGAUUGUAAAGCACUUUAAGUUGGGAGGAAGGGCAGUAAGUUAAUACCUUGCUGUUUUGACGUUACCAACAGAAUAAGCACCGGCUAACUUCGUG
This 483-nucleotide ribosomal RNA is filed under the name uncultured bacterium. RNAcentral's name for it is "partial 16S ribosomal RNA". It matches the Rfam family "Bacterial small subunit ribosomal RNA", at positions 30 to 507 of the family's 1533-position model. The record is from RNAcentral.